RNAcentral lists this transfer RNA (94 nucleotides) under Trichosporon asahii var. asahii CBS 2479. Its description in RNAcentral is "tRNA-Ile". It matches the Rfam family "tRNA". Rfam says of the family: Transfer RNA (tRNA) molecules are approximately 80 nucleotides in length. Their secondary structure includes four short double-helical elements and three loops (D, anti-codon, and T loops). The record is from RNAcentral. Lineage: Eukaryota; Fungi; Basidiomycota; Tremellomycetes; Trichosporonales; Trichosporonaceae.
GGCCGCUUAGCUCAGCUGGUUAGAGCAUCGUACUAAUACUCAGACAGAGUAUCAGUCAAUGCGGAGGUCGGCAGUUCGAUCCUGUCAGUGGUCA